GCGCACGGGUGAGUAACGCGUGGAUAUCUACCUGAUGGGCAGGCAUAACACUUCGAAAGGGGUGCUAAUACCUGAUAAGACCACGGAGUCUCUGGGCUCUGCGGUAAAAGGUGGGGACCUUCGGGCCUACCGUCAUCAGAUGAGUCCGCGUACCAUUAGCUAGUUGGUAGGGUAAAGGCCUACCAAGGCGACGAUGGUUAGCUGGUCUGAGAGGAUGAUCAGCCACACUGGAACUGAGACACGGUCCAGACUCCUACGGGAGGCAGCAGUGGGGAAUUUUGCGCAAUGGGGGAAACCCUGACGCAGCAACGCCACGUGAGUGAUGA
This 326-nucleotide ribosomal RNA is filed under the name uncultured Desulfuromonadales bacterium. Its description in RNAcentral is "bacterial SSU rRNA". It matches the Rfam family "Bacterial small subunit ribosomal RNA", at positions 98 to 411 of the family's 1533-position model. The record is from RNAcentral. Lineage: Bacteria; Pseudomonadati; Thermodesulfobacteriota; Desulfuromonadia; Desulfuromonadales.